AAAUAAAAAGUAUAGAUAAUCAUUACCAAAUACCAAUAGGCAAUAGCAACAAGAUGAGGAACAGUUGACGUCAAAAAAAACAAGAUGAGGAACAGUUAAAGCUUUAGCUAAAAUUAACCAUUGGUGACCACUUGAAGCAUUCGCAUGUUUUGAAUCAACCUAUUUUCUCCUCACUGAACAUCUUAAUCCUCCUAAAUUACAAUACUCAUCUUCAAAAAUUGGAUCCUUUUCUCUCUCUUCCAUUCAGGCCUCUUUAAUUUCUAUCAGUUAUUCUUAUUGCAGAUAUUAGAUACAAAGAUCGGUGUAGGUGGUUGUGGAGGAAAGUAUAAACCACUGCUAUCCGACGUUCCAUCCACUCAUAAAGUUCUUCCCAAUUUUUCAGCACACCGAUUUGUCUUCAAAUUCCAGUUGCGCCUUCUCUGAAUUUUUUAAUUUGUGGCGACUAACACGGGUUUGUAGAGGAACCUUUUUGACUUGAGAUUGAGGUACAUUGACUGUGUUUGCUAUUGAGGGACUUGAAGAUAGUUAGCUCCAGUUGGGUUAAAGAGUGCGUUGGAUCCAUUUUGAUUUAAUAAGACUUUAAAAAGACUUCAGCUGUUAUUUAUUUGACUAUAAGAUUUAUAUUAUGGUUUGUAAUAAUUUAUUUACAUUCUAUUUUAGUUGGUCUGUAAUAAUUAGUUAAAAUUUUUGGUUAUUGUUUUAGUUAGAACCAUUAGCCUUGCGGUUAUUAUUAAUAAUUAUCGCGGCGUAGCACCUUUGGAUUUCCGAGUUUAUUAUAUUAAGUUGUUUUUAGAA
This is a long non-coding RNA of Beta vulgaris subsp. vulgaris (sugar beet), 795 nucleotides long. RefSeq lists it as uncharacterized. The transcript has 4 exons. The record is from RefSeq and is a predicted model, not a curated record. Lineage: Eukaryota; Viridiplantae; Streptophyta; Magnoliopsida; Caryophyllales; Amaranthaceae.